AAAACUUUCAGCGACGGAUGUCUUGGCUCCCACAACGAUGAAGAACGCAGCGAAAUGCGAUACGUCUUGCGACUUGCAGAAUCCAGUGAAUCAUCAAAACUUUGAACGCA
RNAcentral lists this ribosomal RNA (110 nucleotides) under Macrocystis pyrifera (giant kelp). RNAcentral's name for it is "partial 5.8S ribosomal RNA". It matches the Rfam family "5.8S ribosomal RNA", at positions 1 to 108 of the family's 154-position model. Rfam says of the family: 5.8S ribosomal RNA (5.8S rRNA) is a component of the large subunit of the eukaryotic ribosome. The record is from RNAcentral. Lineage: Eukaryota; Phaeophyceae; Laminariales; Laminariaceae.